Molecule: long non-coding RNA, 210 nt
Filed under: Lathyrus oleraceus (garden pea)
Lineage: Eukaryota; Viridiplantae; Streptophyta; Magnoliopsida; Fabales; Fabaceae
Description: Pisum sativum (pea) long non-coding RNA (PSAT_LNC007156)
Source: RNAcentral
UACAUUUUGUCAAAUGGGGAUUCAAAGUAAUGAAAUAAUUAAAUCGGGCCCAAACAACAGAUAAUGAAAUGUAUGAGUGUAAGUGCAAGGGACAUGUCUCAUUGUAAGAAGGCCCAAGAGUAAGCCAUGUGAAGAAAAUAAAUAAAACAACAAGUUACAUUUACAACACACUUAAAAAAUUAAAUCGAAAAAAUGGUAAAAUCGAGAUUU